AGAGUUUGAUCAUGGCUCAGAUUGAACGCUGGCGGCAGGCCUAACACAUGCAAGUCGAACGGUAACAGGGAGCAGCUUGCUGCUUCGCUGACGAGUGGCGGACGGGUGAGUAAUGUCUGGGAAACUGCCUGAUGGAGGGGGAUAACUACUGGAAACGGUAGCUAAUACCGCAUAACGUCGCAAGACCAAAGAGGGGGACCUUCGGGCCUCUUGCCAUCAGAUGUGCCCAGAUGGGAUUAGCUUGUUGGUGGGGUAACGGCUCACCAAGGCGACGAUCCCUAGCUGGUCUGAGAGGAUGACCAGCCACACUGGAACUGAGACACGGUCCAGACUCCUACGGGAGGCAGCAGUGGGGAAUAUUGCACAAUGGGCGCAAGCCUGAUGCAGCCAUGCCGCGUGUAUGAAGAAGGCCUUCGGGUUGUAAAGUACUUUCAGCGGGGAGGAAGGUGUUGUGGUUAAUAACCGCAGCAAUUGACGUUACCCGCAGAAGAAGCACCGGCUAACUCCGUGCCAGCAGCCGCGGUAAUACGGAGGGUGCAAGCGUUAAUCGGAAUUACUGGGCGUAAAGCGCACGCAGGCGGUCUGUUAAGUCAGAUGUGAAAUCCCCGGGCUCAACCUGGGAACUGCAUCUGAUACUGGCAGGCUUGAGUCUCGUAGAGGGGGGUAGAAUUCCAGGUGUAGCGGUGAAAUGCGUAGAGAUCUGGAGGAAUACCGGUGGCGAAGGCGGCCCCCUGGACGAAGACUGACGCUCAGGUGCGAAAGCGUGGGGAGCAAACAGGAUUAGAUACCCUGGUAGUCCACGCCGUAAACGAUGUCGACUUGGAGGUUGUGCCCUUGAGGCGUGGCUUCCGGAGCUAACGCGUUAAGUCGACCGCCUGGGGAGUACGGCCGCAAGGUUAAAACUCAAAUGAAUUGACGGGGGCCCGCACAAGCGGUGGAGCAUGUGGUUUAAUUCGAUGCAACGCGAAGAACCUUACCUGGUCUUGACAUCCACGGAAGUUUUCAGAGAUGAGAAUGUGCCUUCGGGAACCGUGAGACAGGUGCUGCAUGGCUGUCGUCAGCUCGUGUUGUGAAAUGUUGGGUUAAGUCCCGCAACGAGCGCAACCCUUAUCCUUUGUUGCCAGCGGUCCGGCCGGGAACUCAAAGGAGACUGCCAGUGAUAAACUGGAGGAAGGUGGGGAUGACGUCAAGUCAUCAUGGCCCUUACGACCAGGGCUACACACGUGCUACAAUGGCAUAUACAAAGAGAAGCGACCUCGCGAGAGCAAGCGGACCUCAUAAAGUAUGUCGUAGUCCGGAUUGGAGUCUGCAACUCGACUCCAUGAAGUCGGAAUCGCUAGUAAUCGUGGAUCAGAAUGCCACGGUGAAUACGUUCCCGGGCCUUGUACACACCGCCCGUCACACCAUGGGAGUGGGUUGCAAAAGAAGUAGGUAGCUUAACCUUCGGGAGGGCGCUUACCACUUUGUGAUUCAUGACUGGGGUGAAGUCGUAACAAGGUAACCGUAGGGGAACCUGCGGUUGGAUCACCU
Molecule: ribosomal RNA, 1530 nt
Filed under: Citrobacter koseri
Lineage: Bacteria; Pseudomonadati; Pseudomonadota; Gammaproteobacteria; Enterobacterales; Enterobacteriaceae
Description: bacterial SSU rRNA
Rfam family: Bacterial small subunit ribosomal RNA
Source: RNAcentral